RNAcentral lists this ribosomal RNA (365 nucleotides) under uncultured rumen bacterium. Its description in RNAcentral is "partial 16S ribosomal RNA". The record is from RNAcentral.
UAUUCCCCACUGCUGCCUCCCGUAGGAGUUUGGACCGUCUCUCAGUUCCAAUGUGGCCGAUCACCCUCUCAGGUCGGCUACCGAUCGUCGACUUGGUGGGCCGUUACCUCACCAACUAUCUAAUCGGACGCGAACUCACCCCAAACCGGAUCGCUCCUUUUACCCCUGUACCAUGCGAUGCCGUGGUCUUAUGCGGUAUUAGCACCUGUUUCCAAGUGUUAUCCCCCUGUCUGGGACAGAUUGUUCACGCGUUACUCACCCGUCCGCCGCUGGAAUAUACCAAAAUCCUGCCGAAGCUCUCAUUCAGCUUAUCCCCGCUCGACUUGCAUGUGUUAAGCACGCCGCCAGCGUUCAUCCUGAGCCAA